CAACAAGCUCUUGUGACUAAUUGCCUCCCACCAUCCUUACAACCACAAUAUCUGAAUGCAUACGAUUGUGUGGGUUACGCCUCAGCCAGCACAGCUAUAAUUCUGCUGACAAGCUCGUUUCCUCCACUAUGAGGCGACCACUUUCAUGCAGAUACAGAACCUAGGAGAGGUGCUCCUACAGAAUGUCCUGGCUGCUUGCUAUCUAUUUUCUCCUCCUUUUUCCUGGAGCUCCUGUCUCAAAAGCCAGAGAGGAGCUACCUGUUAUCAUUGCUGAGGAAGGGGAGACGACCAAUGUCACCUGCAAGUUUCAGCAUCCAAUCAAUAGGGCCUUGCAGUUGAAUCGAAUCCUUAGGAGGGCCAUGCAAGUGUUACAUGUUUCAGUGUGGGAAAAGAGAAAGACUGAGGCCCCUGAAUAUGCAAAUCGCACCGAAUACUUUGAGAUGGACAACAUGGUGACGAUAAUGCUGCGACAAGUCAAGCAGGAUGAUAGUGAUGUGUAUAUGUGUGAGGGACGUUUUCUAGAAGAGGGGGAGCCCAAGGAUAUAAACAGCAGCAGUAUCAUGUUGGCAGUAAAAGCAGCCUCAGAUAACAAGCUAAGAAACAGUUCAUCAUCUCUCUGGAUGCUGGGCGCCCUGAUCAUCCAGUCGCUUCUCCUGGUUGCUGUGCUGGCAUAUUGUAUCCUGUCCCCUAAAAAUGUAAGUAUCCCUCUGAAGGUAGUUGAAUUCCAAUUACAGAUUUGUUCUCUUCUGUAGGGAAGAAAUAGUACCUCGGUCAGAAAAUGUUCCAAAGUAGCAUCCAAAUAGCUCCUUUUUAUAUUGGAGCAUCUAAUAUUAGAGAAUCUGGCUGGAUAGCUCAGUGAGUUGGAGCACCUGGCCAGGAGUUUGUUUCUCAUGCAGAGAAAAAGCCAGACUGAGUGGUUCUGGGCAAGCUACGCUGUUCCAGAACCACCCCCCACCCCCCUAGAAGAAUGGAAUGUUAAACCACUUCUGGAUAAGCUACAGUUAGAUAACCCUGGAAAGGGUCACUACAAGUUAAAUUGACUUGACACUAUGUAAUUAUUAAUAUUAGUGAAUCCAGCUGGACUCCCAAGUUAACCUAGUAUUCAUGGUUCUCAAUAUCAUGGUUAUUCAUAAUAAUUUCAGAACAGGAAUGGGCCCAUAUGGCCUAAAAAAAGGCUAGAGGACCAAUUUGUGAUUCCGCUCUACAAUCAGAUGUGUUUUACCACUUUGAGAGGCUUCAUUUCUAAUGACAUGGUAACUGUACAUAUAGCUGCCUUUCUUUUCCCCUUUAAUAGAACAAGAAAUUUUGCAAAAAGAGCAAGGAAAAAGAAGCACAAAAUACGGUCUACGAAGACAUGUCUUGCAGCCUGAGGCAAGAGUCCCUGCCUGGAACAAAUCUGUACUAUACCUAAUCUACAGUUAGUUUUGCUGAAGGCGGCUAAAAUUUGGAUUCACUUAUAUAAUUGUCGAAGUAUCUGCAACUCAUUUUGAAACCCUGUCAAAAUGUGUACAUGGAGUACAGGAUGUUGCAUUUAGCUCAUAUUGUUUGGUUAAAAGUUGGUACUUGAACCCCAAGUUCUGAAUUCAAAUUUGAAUUUUUGAAAAAUGCACAUGUUUCUAAUUGCUUCUGAUGAUGCUUCUAAUUGCCUCUGAGCUCUGAGGUGGCUUGAAUCAUCUCCAUAUGGAAAAGGCUUCAAGAAGCCAUUGCCUCUUUGUACAGUCCACAACACCACUAUAGCCCUAUAUUUUAGCUUCAUGUUUUAACCUAUGAUGUUUCAUGGCAUUGAGGUUUUAAAAUGUAAGAGGAACAGUUAGUUAUAUGAGCAAAACAGUUAACAUAUCCAAACUGUAGCAUUUCCACGAUGAAUUUCACAACUUUUUAUCAGUAGUUGCAACUGAAGGAGGUGCAAAUCUUACUAUUGGAAUGCCACUAGAAGCUAUUAAAGUUGAAUGGCUUACCAAAAAUAUGUCAAAAAGUUGUUAUGUUUAGAAUUUUGCACAUAUGUUUUAGGGGUUAUGGGAGUUAUAAUUUCCUAUGAAAUCAUUUGUGUACUGUCCUGUAAUAAUAGAUAAUGUGGAAGUAAUUGGAAUGGACAGUUAAGUGUGCUUAGACAAUAAUAUAUCUUACAAUAAUUGUACAAUUAUAUACUUGUGACCAGGUGAACAAGCAGGAAAAGGUAUGAAAUUUCAAGAGCUUGGAAAGUUAGAUCUGAAAAUUAUUUUUGUUGUUGUUGAUAAUGGUUAGAAAUAGGAGACUGAUUUUUAAUAUUUAAACCUAAAACCACAUUUAACUCAUGGAAUUCACAUUGUUAAUCCAUUAAUGAAACCAUUAAUUUUGAAAUAAACAAUGGAGUUUACAGAGAAUGGUGUGUAGG
This 2374-nucleotide long non-coding RNA is filed under the name Pogona vitticeps (central bearded dragon). RNAcentral describes it as "lncRNA (ENSPVIG00000019862.1)". The record is from RNAcentral. Lineage: Eukaryota; Metazoa; Chordata; Lepidosauria; Squamata; Agamidae.